RNAcentral lists this ribosomal RNA (253 nucleotides) under uncultured bacterium. RNAcentral describes it as "partial 16S ribosomal RNA". It matches the Rfam family "Bacterial small subunit ribosomal RNA", at positions 524 to 776 of the family's 1533-position model. The record is from RNAcentral.
UACGGAGGGUGCAAGCGUUAUCCGGAAUCACUGGGUUUAAAGGGUGCGUAGGUGGGCUUGUAAGUCAGCGGUGAAAUCUCCGGGCUUAACCCGGAAACUGCCAUUGAUACUAUAAGUCUUGAAUUAUCUGGAGGUGAGCGGAAUAUGUCAUGUAGCGGUGAAAUGCUUAGAUAUGACAUAGAACACCAAUUGCGAAGGCAGCUCACUACGGAUCGAUUGACACUGAGGCACGAAAGCGUGGGGAUCAAACAGG